UGCCUAAGCAAGGGUAUGAUAUUCCCUCUGGUACUGGUCUGAGUCAAGAGCAACAAGCACAUAGACUGCGUAGAUGAUGCCAGGGACAUAGCCAAGGAUGGUGAGAAGCAAGCAGAUGCAGAACUCCAUCUCAUCCGAAGCGGAGGAAGACGCCGAGGGGCGGGAGGAUGAUGGCGAGCAGGAUCUCGAGGAACGUGCAGCACCGGCCGGACGCCAUGGGUGGAGGAUCUCGGAUCGGAUCCGGGGGGAUCAGAGGCGAGCGGGAUC
RNAcentral lists this small RNA (267 nucleotides) under Oryza sativa Japonica Group (Japanese rice). RNAcentral describes it as "sRNA Os09g0558050". Lineage: Eukaryota; Viridiplantae; Streptophyta; Magnoliopsida; Poales; Poaceae. The record is from RNAcentral.